GAUAACCGUGGGAAAUCUAGAGCUAAUACAUGCAAUUAAAUUGAAGGGGGUCAAAUCCUUUCAAAGCAUUUAUUAAAACAAUACCAACUAUAGUAGUGUAGGCAACUGUGCUACUAUAAGGUGAAUCUAGAUAACUUUGCUGAUCGUAUGGCCUUGUGCCGGCCACAUUUCAAUUGAAUUUCUGCCCUAUCAACUUGUUGGUAAGGUAGUGGCUUACCAAGGUUACAACGGGUAACGGGGAAUCAGGGUUCGAUUCCGGAGAGGGAGCCUGAGAAAUGGCUACCACAUCCAAGGGAGGCAGCAGGCGCGCAAAUUACCCAAUCCAGAUUCUGGGAGGUGGUGACGAGAAAUACUAGAUGGCUUCCUAAAAGGAUGUCAUACUGGAAUGGACGUAAUUUAAGAAAUUCGAUGAGUAACAACUGGAGGGCAAGUCUGGUGCCAGCAGCCGCGGUAAUUCCAGCUCCAGUAGUGUAUCUUAAAGUUGCUGCGUUUAAAACGCUCGUAGUUGGAUUACGCAGCAUAGAUUAGUCGAUUGGCAUGAUAUUGCACUCAAUCCAAUUGGUUAAGCUUUUGUUCAAGGUAUAUCCUGGAUGGGGGUUUGAUCAGUUGGAGCAGUACGUGUCGAUUAACAGCUAGUUUAUGCUACUUUUUUGUGAGGAUGGCAGUUGACCUUUAAUGCGUCGACUGUUGUGUCUCACAAAGUGUGCCUUGAAUAAAUCAGAGUGCUCAAAGCAGGCUUUAGCUUGAAUGUUGAUAGCAUGGAACGAACAAUUGUGAACUAGUGUUUUUAGAGACCAUUCAAGUGGAUUUAUAUUCGCUUGGAUGUGUAGCUUUAAACACAGCACCAACCGCCAUUUACGGAUGUUGGUUUCCGUGAUGGGGUGAUGAUUAAAAGGAGCGGUUGGGGGCAUUGGUAUUUUGCCGCGAGAGGUGAAAUUCUUGGACCGGCAAAGGACUAACAAAUGCGAAGGCAUCUGUCAAGACCGUUUCCAUUAAUCAAGAACGAUAGUGAGAGGUUCGAAGACGAUCAGAUACCGUCCUAGUUCUCACUGUAAACUAUGCCGACCCGGGAUCAGUUUCGAGCUAGAAAUGCUCGUGGUUGGUCCCCCUGGGAAACCUCAAGUUUUUAGGUUACGGGGGGAGUAUGGUUGCAAGGCUGAAACUUAAAGGAAUUGACGGAAGGGCACCACCAGGGGUGGAGCCUGCGGCUUAAUUUGACUCAACACGGGAAAACUCACCUGGUCCGGACAUCGAAAGGAUAGACAGACUGAUAGAUCUUUCUUGAUACGGUGGUUGGUGGUGCAUGGCCGUUCUUAGUUCGUGGAGUGAUCUGUCAGGUUGAUUCCGGUAACGGACGAGACCAUAGUUUUCAUUUAUGGUACUGGGGAAGGUUAUGGUGAAGCUGGCAACAGUGGAGUCAUAACUACUGGUAGGGUGUGCUUUUGUUGCAUUGAAUUUAGUGUUACUUGCUGGUUUAUGCCUUCCGGUAGCAUUAGAGGAUGUGUAAUUAUAGGGUGUACUCUCCCUCCAGUUAAACAUUGCAGGGUUUCGCUCUGUGAUUGUGCUAUGAAAAGACAACCAAGUAUACUUUAGAAGUUGGAGGAAGCAUUUGGCGAUAACAGGUCUGUGAUGCCCUUAGAUGUCCAGGGCCGCACGCGCGCUACAAUGAUAGCAACAAUGAGUGUCUUGGUCGAAAGACUUGGGUAAUCUUGUGAAUUGCUAUCGUGAUGGGGAUUGAUCGUUGUAAUUAUCGGUCAUGAAAGAGGAAUCCCUAGUAUGCAUGCGUCAUUAGCGUAUGCAGAUUAAGUCCCUGCCCUUUGUACACACCGCCCGUCGCUACUA
Molecule: ribosomal RNA, 1842 nt
Filed under: Ortholinea mullusi
Lineage: Eukaryota; Metazoa; Cnidaria; Myxozoa; Bivalvulida; Ortholineidae
Description: SSU rRNA
Rfam family: Eukaryotic small subunit ribosomal RNA
Source: RNAcentral